RNAcentral lists this ribosomal RNA (502 nucleotides) under uncultured Glomeromycotina. RNAcentral describes it as "partial small subunit ribosomal RNA". It matches the Rfam family "Eukaryotic small subunit ribosomal RNA", at positions 591 to 1092 of the family's 1831-position model. Lineage: Eukaryota; Fungi; Glomeromycota. The record is from RNAcentral.
CCAAUAGCGUAUAUUAAAGUUGCUGCAGUUAAAAAGCUCGUAGUUGAAUUUCGGGAUUUAUCCGUCGGUCGGGCUUUUGGGUCUGUACUGGCGUGAUGGAUUCCUACCUUCUGAAUAACCGGCAUGUCAUUAAUUUGGUGCGCCGGGGAAGCAGGACUGUUACCUUGAAAAAAUUAGAGUGCUUAAAGCAGGCUUAUGCCUGAAUACAUUAGCAUGGAAUAAUGAAAUAGGACGGCAUGGUUCUAUUUUGUUGGUUUCUAGGAUCAACGUAAUGAUUAAUAGGGAUAGUUGGGGGCAUUAGUAUUCAAUUGUCAGAGGUGAAAUUCUUGGAUUUAUUGAAGACUAACUUCUGCGAAAGCAUUUGCCAAGGAUGUUUUCAUUAAUCAAGAACGAAAGUUAGGGGAUCGAAGACGAUCAGAUACCGUCGUAGUCUUAACCAUAAACUAUGCCGACUAGGGAUCGGACGAUGUUAAUUUUUUAAUGACUCGUUCGGCGCCUUACG